AUUCCGGUUGAUCCUGCCGGAGGACAUUGCUAUUGGGAUUCGAUUUAGCCAUGCUAGUCGAGCGAGUUCAGACUCGCGGCGAAUAGCUCAGUAACACGUGGCCCAGCUCCCCUUCGGCCAGCGAUACCCUCGGGAAACUGAGGUUAACAGCUGAUACAAAACGCCAGCUGGAAUGCGGCGUUUCAGAAAGACAUCGCUGAAGGAUGCGGCUGCGGCCGAUUAGGUAGACGGUGGGGUAACGGCCCACCGUGCCAGUAAUCGGUACGGGUGAUGAGAGUCAGAGCCCGGAGACGGAAUCUGAGACAAGAUUCCGGGCCCUACGGGGCGCAGCAGGCGCGAAACCUUUACACUGCACGGAAGUGCGAUAGGGGAAUCCCAAGUGCGAGGGCAUAUUAGCCCUCGCUUUUCUCGACUGUAAGGUGGUCGACGAAUAAGAGCUGGGCAAGACCGGUGCCAGCCGCCGCGGUAAU
RNAcentral lists this ribosomal RNA (470 nucleotides) under uncultured haloarchaeon. RNAcentral's name for it is "bacterial SSU rRNA". It matches the Rfam family "Archaeal small subunit ribosomal RNA", at positions 1 to 474 of the family's 1478-position model. The record is from RNAcentral. Lineage: Archaea; Methanobacteriati; Methanobacteriota; Halobacteria; Halobacteriales; Halobacteriaceae.